AGUGGGCUCCCGGGCAGAGAGUACUUGGAGAGAGAGUGGCCGCACAGUGCUCGAGCUGGGGCUGUGUGUACGACCGGCAGGAUCACGUGCUGAGCCUUGGGGGACUCAGCUGGGACCAUUAGAAGCUCUGGGGCCUGCUCCACCCAUUCUGACUGGUGCUGCCCUCAGGAAACCAUCUCUGCCUGAAACCCAUUAGGGCCAGGGAGAGUUGUCUGGCUGGAAAGGAAGAAGACGGAUGCUGGUGGUUUUUUGUCUUUCGCUUGUUGUUUUAGAGCCACUGAGAAGAUGACGGAGCCCUGCGACCAGGAACCUGACUCUUCAGCUCAAAUCUUGGUUUGAAAGGGGGACUUCUCUGUGCCCCUGUUGUCGGCAUGCCAUGGUAGAGAAUGGAUGGCCCACGCAGCUGGCCCCUCAUGAGACCCCAGCCAUCUCAUUCCACUGGGAGCCACGUCAGGACGAAGGAGGACUGGGAGGGGCGUCUGGCUGCGUGGUGUGGGGCCUGCAGUGUUGUGGCACACGCAGCUUCAGCCAAACAUCUAGCCCUGUACCUAGAACUAAGAAAUAAAACUAUAACAUCAGAUUUAAAAGUUCUCUGGGAACAUUUGUCCUGCCCAAAAUAGUAACUUGUCAUUUUUAAAAGAAUAAAACAGAGCUUUGAUAAGCCCCGUGGAUGCACCUGACACGAGAGAAUCAAUGGUGCAGGUGGAUUUGGGCUCAAGGUGGUUUUCAACACCCAGGUGAUGUCUAGGUGACUGGAAAGGGUGUCUGUUGGACUUGCACCUUUUUUCCCUGUGGAAGCUAUUUUUAUGCAGUUUUGUAUUUGUUCUCAGAACAAAUUGGCCAAAAACACUACCUUUAAGUGUGACUUGAUUUUUAGUGUACAUUUUCAGAUGUUAUGGGAAAUGCAUUCACAGUUGAGGUGUCAAAGCAGGGGAAGAUGGCUUCCUUGGCAAUAACAAGCAAAGGCAAACAUGUUUAUUUUUGUAUCUGUAAAAGCUGGUCGCUCUUUAAGUGUAGUUCCAGCAUCUAAAGUGGACACAGAACCUGUUCUUCAGGGCCUGUCACACCCUCACUGUCCAUGUGAGAGUUUGUCCCUCCUUGUGGAUACUGGGGGCAGGAGCUGCCUUCAGGCACACAGGCAUCAGCUGCCACCCUUCAGGGAGGGCUGGGGGCCAGUGGGCAAGUGGCUGCUGUUCCUCAGAGCAGCUCGUCAAAGGCAGCCCAGUUGGUCACAGGCAUUUUGGGAGGAGGAGACAGAAGUUCAAGGUCAAAGACAAGGUCGCAGUUGUGGAAGUGGGAGGGGCCCAGAGCACUGUGGGUGAGCAGCUGGGGAGCUUGGGGUGAGACUCUGCUGGGCCCUACCCAGCUGUGUUGCUUCCCUGCUUUCUGCCUCAGUUUCUUGCGUAACAAAAGCAGGUGGCAAGAUGAGGAGUUGAACACGAGGCCUGCGAGAGCUCUGAACUCUGCAAAGGGCUUCUCCACUGGAAACGUGUUGUGUGCUGCAGCCCUGGGUCUGUUUGAAAUGCAGGUUCUAUCAGCGGGGCUGGGCUGCUUCCCUCCCAGGGACAGGUCUACCGGGCAGCCUUGGGCAGUGGAUCUCUGAGGUGCUUCAUCCAGCUGCCUGUCCCCACACAUGCUCUGCACAGGGGGAGAGGACGCGAGGAAUGGGGAGCCGAUGCCCAUCAGGAAGGCCAGGAGCUGAAAGCAGCUUCCAGCCAGGAAGGAGGGAAGGGCCAGGCUCCAGGUUGGCAGCAGAGAGAAGCUCUUCCCCAAGCAGGAGGCAGGGGCACAGUCGCUGAUGAGGGAGGAUGGGGAGGAGACCCUCCUUGUUGGGAGAGGGGAGGUAGAUCCGAUCUGCUGAGUUUAGGGGAAGGGCACACCUACCGGACUUUGGAAGCAGAGAUGUAGGGUUGCUCCCUCCCUUUGAGACCUGUCACCAGCUGGCCGCAGCGCUGUAUGGAGAUGAGGCCUUCUUGAGGGCUCACAGCGGCAUGUCACCGUGUCCCUGGUGACCUGGGUGUGCAAUGCACCCAAGCACGCAGGGUCCCCCGGUGCCCAGAGCGUGAUGCCUGCCUUGGCGUGUGUGGCAUCGGGACCACAGCUUCCGCAGACAUCCCAGCUGGGGACAUCGGCUGACUUGGCUGAGGGACCAGGGGACAGACACCACCUCUCCUAUCCCCCAGGGGCGUGUGACCUGGGGUCCCUGGCAUGCUUGGUGCACACACCAGUCUACGGUCAGUGUACGCAGGGCUUGUCUGUGGGUGUCAUUGCCACACAGACUGAGCCUUCAGGGUGGCGCCCCUUCCUGGCCCACCCCCGCAGGCUGCUUCUCCGGUCGCAGCCCAUGUUCUAAUGUCGAGAUCGCGCGUGAGGUUCAGACCUUUGAACAGCCUGACUGUAGGAGCCGCCUUCCAGCCCGCUGGAAACGUGCGUGUGAGGCCGGGUUCUUACCCUCAGCACUGCUGACGUUCUGCGCUGGACAUUUCUUUGCUGUGGGGCAUCUGCAUGUGGAGAGCUAUCGGUGCCCCGGCCUCUGCUGUCUAGAUACCAGGAGCUUCCCCCCAACUUGUGCCAAUUAGAAUGUCUCCAGACAUCACCACAUGUCUGCUGGGGGCAGAACCACGGGGCUAAGUUGUGGCUGUCCCCUGUGGUGGGCUCUCUGUUGUGAUGAGGAAGGGCUGGGCCUGCAGGUGGACGUCCGGCCCCCUGACAAAGCUUGUAUGAGGGGACCCAAGAGCCUGUGGUGCCUCUGCCAAGCUCACUGGCAGGAACUGGGGGUCAGGCUCACUUCCUCCAGGGAGUGGGGAGCAGCCCUGCCAUUUGCGGUGCCAUAGAGACAGUUAAGCUUGAGAAUGUGAUUGCCGUUCUGAAAACACCCAGAGGCCGCAGUGUGCCCGGCAGAGAGCAAGGACCCCUGACCACCGGCUGGGUUGGUCCUGGGAGGGCCCCGGUGAUACCUGGGGGGUGUACACCAUGGAGCAGAGCCUCCUCCAGUGUAGCCUGGGAGCCUCUGUGAGGCCACAGCCCCCAGGAAGAGCACAGUGCUGCAUUCCCAGGUGCUGCCGGCUGCGCCCCUCCCAGCUGCGUGUCCUCACCUGCCGGCCCCAGCUGUCGCUGCCCACGCCCUGCCUGCCUCUCCUGACAGGAACUUCCCAAGCAGAGGCCUCAGGUAGCAGGCGCUCCUUGUCCCCUCUGCCACCUGGGCUGCUGAGGGUGUAUCACCAGGAGUGAGCUCAGGACCUGGACACCCAAGCCCAGACCACUGAACUUUCGUUCUGAGGCACAAUGGGGCGUUCCCGUCAGGCUCUGCCCCCCUAGACAGAGGUGAGACCAGCUACGGCACAGCUCUUGGCAGCUGGGUGCCCCUCUGAGAUGGGCCAGGCAGCACGCUCAUGGCACCUUCAUGUGGCUUCAAUUCUCUGGCCAUUGCAUUCCUAACCAAAAUAUAAACUUCAGGAUCGUUUUGGAUUUUGCAUUACCCAAACCAUUUGCUUUUGAUAAUAACAGUGUCUUGGCAGAGUUCUUGCUCUUGGACUCCGUGUGGUGAUGGUGACCGCCGUGCACGGAACCCAUGGCAUGGGCAUCCGCCACUGUGCUUGUUAACUGAGGAGGAGGUGCAGUCGCUGCCCGGAAGGCACAGGCAGUGGCCAGGGGCAGCAGUGAGACCACACCGUUGUGAAACUCAUGCUCCUAACAACUCGCCUGCACCUCUCCUCUUGGCUCUGCAAGUCUUUGCAUGGAACAGCUGAUUUAACGUGGGCCCAGGGCAGCAGGGGACCCUAAAGCAAGCCUCCUGGGUGGGGGGAGGCAGUGGCAUGUCACUGGGACUCCCCUGUCCUGUUGGCCUUCUGUGGUGGAUUUGGGGGCCAGUGGCCCGCUGAGGGCAGGACACACCCUGGCAAGGGAGCGGGCGUGGGCGGGAGGGCAUGUUGCUGCAGUCUAGGGCAUGUGAGCUUGGCCUCCAGAGAUGAGCUCAUCCUCCCUGGGCCUUGCUGAGCGUCUGAGGCUUCUUCACCGAGGCUCACCUGAGUGACUUCAGCGCCGGGGGUUUACCAAGGAAAAACGUUCCCCUCCAGUUUGAAAAAAAAAAAAAAAA
RNAcentral lists this long non-coding RNA (4096 nucleotides) under Homo sapiens (human). RNAcentral's name for it is "HSALNT0395462". The record is from RNAcentral. Lineage: Eukaryota; Metazoa; Chordata; Mammalia; Primates; Hominidae.